AACGAACGCUGGCGGCAUGCCUAACACAUGCCAGUCGAACGAGACCUCCGGGUCUAGUGGCGCACGGGUGCGUAACGCGUGGGAACCUGCCCUUAGGUUCGGAAUAACUCCCCGAAAGGGGUGCUAAUACCGGAUAAUGUCUUCGGACCAAAGAUUUAUCGCCUUUGGAUGGGCCCGCGUUGGAUUAGCUAGUUGGUAGGGUAAAAGCCUCCCAAGGCGACGAUCCAUAGCUGGUCUGAGAGGAUGAUCAGCCACACUGGGACUGAGACACGGCCGGGACUCCUCCGGGAGGCAGGAGUGGGGAAUAUUGGACAAUGGGCGGAGGCCUGAUCCAGCACUGCCGCGUGAGUGAUGAAGGCCUUAGGGUUGUAAAGCUCUUUUAACCGGGAUGAUAAUGACAGUACCGGGAGAAUAAGCCCCGGCUAACUCCGUG
RNAcentral lists this ribosomal RNA (433 nucleotides) under uncultured bacterium. RNAcentral's name for it is "partial 16S ribosomal RNA". It matches the Rfam family "Bacterial small subunit ribosomal RNA", at positions 29 to 507 of the family's 1533-position model. The record is from RNAcentral.